RNAcentral lists this microRNA precursor (178 nucleotides) under Physcomitrium patens. RNAcentral describes it as "Physcomitrella patens miR395 stem-loop (ppt-MIR395)". Its record names the gene ppt-MIR395. Lineage: Eukaryota; Viridiplantae; Streptophyta; Bryopsida; Funariales; Funariaceae. The record is from miRBase by way of RNAcentral.
AAUUUUGAAACCUUCUUUUGCUUCAUAUUCUAGUCGUUGGUUUAUGGUGCCUAAGAAAAAUGGAUCGUUAUGUUUUAUUCAAGAUAUACAGCCAAUGAAUGUAGUAACUAUAAGAAAUGCAGGUAUAGGAUCUUUAAUAGAUGAGUUUGCUGAAGCGUUUGGGGGAAGGGCAAUUUAU